AUGACAAGUUCAAGUCAGUCGUCUUUGGAUGAUGAAGUGACAAACGAAUCAUCUACGAUUUUUCCUACUAAUGGCAUGCUCAUAUCAACUGAGGGCUUGGAGCGAGGAGAAAGCUCAAAAGGACGAAAGCGUGUACGUGAAGCAAUAAGAUAUGCUAGCCGUACACCAGAACAAAUCCAAGCAAGGAGAGAACGUGUUAGAGCACGUCGGCAAAAUUUAACACCUGCUGAGAGGGAAAAGAUUAAUGCACAAAGAAGAGAGAAAAGACAACGAAUGGCACUUGAUGAGAGGAAUGCAAGCCAACGAGCACGUAGGCAAAGUUUGACAAUAGAUGAGAGGCAAGAAAUAAAUGCACGCCGGCGAGCACGUAGGCAAAGCCUACCACCUGAAGAGCGGCAAGCACUCCUAGCUCAACGUAAUGCAAGCUACGCAUCUAAACGAGAUGCCCUCUGCAGGGAUUCUGUUGCACUACAGUGCCCUACAGGUUCAUUGAUGGGACAUCCAUCAUCAAGUUCUUAUGUCUUUAGCCACCCAGGAGAUGAUGAUACUAUCCAGCACAUGGAACUCACAUCGGUGCAAUGUCCAACAUCUACAUCAGUGGACAAUCCAUCAUCACCCCAUGAUGGUUUCGUAUAUUCAGAUUCCCCAAUAGAAAGCUUUGUCGCCGAUGAUGAUGAUUCUCACAUGUCUGAAGAACAAGAUGAUGAGUACUUCGCAUUUGCUGGGAGAGGUGACGAUGAAGACUUGGUAGAUGCCUUUACAACAGACACCAUUGUCCCUGACCUAUAUGAUCGUGUCUACCACAAUAUACCAGUAAGUACUCACAUGUUGACACCAAAACCUGAUUGCAAUCACUGUGGUGCAAAGAGGUUCCAGUAUGAAACAAGUGGAUUUUGUUGUCGGUCCGGAAAGAUUAACCUAGCACACUCAGAACCUCCCUUGGAACUUCAAAUGUUAUACACAAGUUCAGAUCCCAAUGACGUGCAUUUUAGGGAGAACAUUCGGUACUUUAAUGGACACUUCUCAUUCACCACCCUUGGAGUCAGUCUGGACAAUAGAUACACAAACAUGAGUUCAGGAGUGUAUACAUUCUGA
RNAcentral lists this ribosomal RNA (1095 nucleotides) under Triticum aestivum (bread wheat). Its description in RNAcentral is "partial small subunit ribosomal RNA". The record is from RNAcentral. Lineage: Eukaryota; Viridiplantae; Streptophyta; Magnoliopsida; Poales; Poaceae.